Long non-coding RNA from Girardinichthys multiradiatus, 994 nucleotides. RefSeq lists it as uncharacterized. The record is from RefSeq and is a predicted model, not a curated record. NCBI's taxonomy places the organism in Eukaryota, Metazoa, Chordata, Actinopteri, Cyprinodontiformes, Goodeidae. The transcript is spliced from 4 exons.
CGUCUCCGGGAGUUCAUGUUGGACUAUUCAUUUUCUGGUUCUUCCGAAUUCGCCGCCAAUCAUUGAAGAAACUGCACUAUAUAAACUCUCUGCACCUGCCACUAAUGGCAGCUGUGAUUUGGACUGAACAGCUCGCCACUUCUGACCUUGGUGUUUUGAAACUUUGAAGCUUGGUUCUUUUGUGUGCUUACCUGCUUGAUGGGUACGUGGUGACCAUGGCAGAGAAAAUGUAGAAGUUGCACAGUUGAUGUUUACUGUCCGUGGCACAGGAAGAAGCAGUUUCAUUUCAAGAAAGAGUGUGCACAAUCAACGAGCGAUUAUGGAGAGACCUCUGGGUGGCUGUUACAUGCGUUUACAAUGAUGUUCUUCACAACUUUGAGGAAGAGGGCUUUCUUGACAUUUCAAAUGCUGCACACCUCUUCUGCUGCCAUUACGUGUUUCUGCCUCGCCUGCAGGAGGAUUUGAAUACAUUUUGCAGUGGUUGGGACAAUCCACUGCAAACAGAAACCAACAUGAGCCCCAACCAGCUGUGGGUGUUGGGUCACACACACACCACCCUGUUCCUGAACCAGAAAACACAUAUGGUGUCCAGAUUCCAGGCAUUGAGUGGGAGGAAAGUGGCCUUUCUUUCCAGGACCAUUCGACCAUUGUCAUUGCAAACAGACUGUCCUUUGACUGAGGAACAAAUGGCAGGUUUACAGGAAGUAGUUAAUCCAAGAGCUGCAUCCCAGUCCUUAGGCUCCGACAUCUACCUUGCUGCUGUUCAGUUUUGUGAGCAAUUCCUUUAAAUGGAAGGGCAACAUAAACGCAACUGUACAUAAUGCUAUGUUGGUAACUUGUUGUAAACAUUGAGGAAAAAUUUUUCUUAGCUUGCAAUGUUUGACUUUCAAAAUUGAAAAUAUGCAACUUUAUGUAUACCAUUCAAAUGUGUUAAGUAAAACUGAAAGUGGGAACAUGUUGAUUUGUGACUAAAUAAAACAGCAAAGUAAGUUUA